Molecule: ribosomal RNA, 492 nt
Filed under: uncultured bacterium
Lineage: Bacteria
Description: partial 16S ribosomal RNA
Rfam family: Bacterial small subunit ribosomal RNA
Source: RNAcentral
AGUGAACGCUGGCGGUAGGCCUAACACAUGCAAGUCGAACGGCAGCACAGUAAGAGCUUGCUCUUACGGGUGGCGAGUGGCGGACGGGUGAGGAAUACAUCGGAAUCUACUUUUUCGUGGGGGAUAACGUAGGGAAACUUACGCUAAUACCGCAUACGACCUACGGGUGAAAGCAGGGGAUCUUCGGACCUUGCGCGAUUGAAUGAGCCGAUGUCGGAUUAGCUAGUUGGCGGGGUAAAGGCCCACCAAGGCGACGAUCCGUAGCUGGUCUGAGAGGAUGAUCAGCCACACUGGAACUGAGACACGGUCCAGACUCCUACGGGAGGCAGCAGUGGGGAAUAUUGGACAAUGGGCGCAAGCCUGAUCCAGCCAUACCGCGUGGGUGAAGAAGGCCUUCGGGUUGUAAAGCCCUUUUGUUGGGAAAGAAAAGCAGCAGGUUAAUACCCCGCUGUUCUGACGGUACCCAAAGAAUAAGCACCGGCGAACUUCGUG